Molecule: long non-coding RNA, 2798 nt
Organism: Spinacia oleracea (spinach)
Lineage: Eukaryota; Viridiplantae; Streptophyta; Magnoliopsida; Caryophyllales; Amaranthaceae
Exons: 3
Source: RefSeq, a predicted model, not a curated record
CAGAAAUGUCAUUUUAUAGCGUUAUUUUAAUAACGCUUUUUAACAUUUCGCUAUUGAAGAUAUCAUUUAUAGCGUACUAUAGCGUUUUAAAAAUAAGCCCUAUUAAAAGUCGACUUACAACAGCGCUUUCUACAAAGCCCUAUAAAAAAGUUAUUAAAAAAAUAAAAAUAUAAAUAAAAAUAAAAGUAAAAGAGCUUUUGAAUACCAAUUACCAAAUUAUAGUCAGACCCUUUGUUCUUCUUUCCGUAUUUAUGGUUUUCUCUCAAAAGAAAACCCUUAUAAACAUUUCUUUUCAAUCCUCCGCCCCAUUCAAUUUCUUAGUUCCAAUUUCAUGGAUAUUAGAGGAGCUCGCAAUAGAGGCAUGCUCAGGCUAUUCAUAGGGAAACAACGGCUUCAAAAAAUCUUGUAUAAGGAGUUAAUCAUGCUAUCAGGACUGCUCAAUUCUCCCUGUGUUCGGAGAAGCUUGUUCAGAUAAAUGAAGCUUGCUUUGGGGGACUACUUUUUGGUUAUGAUAUUGGUGCUACAUCCUCUGCCACAAUUUCAUUUCAGGUCGUGCUCUUCACAAACUCGGGUAUGGAAGCAAAUGAGUUGGCCUUAAUGAUGGCAAUGUUGUACACUGGAUGGCAGGACAUUAAUCCUUGAGGAAUGCUUACCAUGGAAACACAGCUGGAACUAUAGGUGCAACUGCUCAGUGCAAUUGGGAGUUCAAUGUUACUCAGGUAUUGGGUUCUUAUGCUUCUUUGAGUUGCUAAAACGACUGCCCAUGUUCAAUCUCUAAGUCUUUUUUUAAUGUUGACUGUACCAUUUGUACAGUGAUUCCAAUUCCUGAGUUUUAAUUGGCUUACUUUGUUUAAGGAAUACAUUUCUUUUCCUAGCUUUAUAGGACAAACAGCUGCUUCAUUUGGAAUUCCUGUGAGUUUUUAAUUUCGAUUUAAGAUUUUAUAAUGGCCCUGUGUAACUCUUUUCUAUUCAGUUUACAAUAAACUUUGCAGAAGAAUGAGCUAGUUUCUAGGUAUGAGGUCAAUUCUUCGUACAAACAAAUGUUAUGACAUGUUAUGGUUUAGGAAUAAGACGUUGCUGGCCUUGUGGCAGAUUCCAUUAAAAACCAAAGCUUAGUAUUAUUGUAAACUGCAUAUUUUUUACCUGUUAGCUAACAAACUAUUAGAGCAGGUUAGAGCAGGUUAGAGCAGAUUAGAGCGGUUGUGUUCUGUUGGAGUUCUUUCUUUUCAAUUAGAGCAGAUUUUCUAAGGAGGAUUUGUGUUCUUGUAGACUCUUUCUUUUCAAUUGGGGCAGACUUCCUAAGGGGGAUUUGCAGCUUUAUUACUGCCGAGCAGAACACAAGAAAUAAUAAGAAAUUUAUGUUCUCAUGAGUCAUGUCUGCUUGGGUUAACUUUCAGGAUAAUUUGAUUUUAUUUGGCACGCAUACACAUUAUCACCUAAUUAUUCGGCAAACUAAACGGCAGACUAAAGUUAUCUUAGUAACUUUGCAGAAAGAAUUUUUUUUCCCCUCUUAUAUAUAUGUAUGAAUAUCUUAUACCCCGUUGCUUUGCAGUACUUUUCAGAUUGUCAGUUUUCAAGUUAUGACAAAGAGCAAAUUGACGUAGUAGGAACUCUGUGGGUGCGCCAUGUUAUUCAACAAUUGUAUAAUAACUAGGUGACGUUGAAGGAACAAAAAACAUACAACUCUAGUAAUUGAUGUAUUUUGUGUAGUGCAAUGUUUCUAAUCUUAUUUUAGAACAUAUUAUGUAAUCGGUUUUAUUAAGAUGACAAUUGCAAAAUUCAUUGAGGUUUGGAAAUUAAUAUUCAACUAUUUACUACACUCUUCAAUAUAUGGUAUUUUGAAAUAUUUGUAGUUAUUUUGUGGCAUAAAAUAGUAUAUAUUGCAGCCAACGAAAUUACAAAAAAUAAAUAAAAAUAAUCACUUUAAUAGUGUUGUAUAUACAUCCGCUGUUAGAAAACAAUUCAAAAUUUGGCGGCAAAAUCUUUAAUAGCACACUUUUAAUACCGCUUAUAAUGCGCUGUAAAAGAAAUAUUUGAAUUAUCCUAACAGUACCUUUUAUAGCGCUUUUGACAAACGCUAUUGAAAGUACCUUUUACUUUUAAUAGCGAAGCCAUCAACAGCGCUUCAAGAAGCGCUAUAAAAUGCCAUAUUAAGCGCUAUAAAAGGCAUUUUUUUGGCGUAGUGCUACUUUGAGACAGUAGGUGGGAGAAAGAAGGGAAAGGUCCCCGGGCUGGGUAGUGGAGCCUCUCUAUACUUUGCACCAUCUAGAAGGGGUGGUAGUUCUUCUAGCUCAUACACCCCAUCUAUUUAUUCUCAAAUGUCAUCUCGAUUGGAAGAGACUCAACAACAGUUGACCCAAAAAUCCAUUGAGCUUGAAACAACAAAAAAUCAGAUGUUAAAGGCUAUGGAGGACGAUCUACUUUUGAGGCAAAGGGAGAGAGAAGAAAGAGAAGCAGAGCGACUACAGCACCAAAGGGAGAUGGAAAGGGAGAGACAAGAGAGAGAAAGGGAGAGACAAGAAAGAGAAGAACAUGCCGCCCAGAUGAAAAAGGCAAUGGAGUCUUACGAGCGGAUGUUCAGUCAGUGUACUGGUUUUCCUUUCUCGCAGUCGCAGGACCCUCGAGAUCCACCCGGAGGCGGGACACCUUUGUGUUAGGUAGUUAGUAUUCUUGUAUUAGUUUGAACUAGUUACAACUUUUCGUAUUAACAUGUUUGAACAACAUUAUGUGUAUUAUGAAUCUUUGUUGUAUGACUUUGAACAUGUUUAAUAUUAUAACAUCGAGCAGGUUUCAUACGA